AUUGAACGCUGGCGGCAUGCUUUACUCAUGCAAGUCGAACGGUAACAGGCCUUCGGGUGCUGACGAGUGGCGAACGGGUGAGUAAUGCAUCGGAACGUGCCCAGAGGUGGGGGAUAACGCAGCGAAAGCUGUGCUAAUACCGCAUGUGAUCUGAGGAUGAAAGCGGGGGACCAGGCAGCAAUGUUUGGCCUCGCGCCUUUGGAGCGGCCGAUGUCAGAUUAGGUAGUUGGUGGGGUAAAGGCCUACCAAGCCGACGAUCUGUAGCUGGUCUGAGAGGACGACCAGCCACACUGGGACUGAGACACGGCCCAGACUCCUACGGGAGGCAGCAGUGGGGAAUUUUGGACAAUGGGCGCAAGCCUGAUCCAGCAAUGCCGCGUGCGGGAAGAAGGCCUUCGGGUUGUAAACCGCUUUUGUACGGAACGAAAAGGCUCUGGCUAAUACCUGGGGCUGAUGACGGUACCGUAAGAAUAAGCACCGGCUAACUACGUG
Molecule: ribosomal RNA, 492 nt
Filed under: uncultured bacterium
Lineage: Bacteria
Description: partial 16S ribosomal RNA
Rfam family: Bacterial small subunit ribosomal RNA
Source: RNAcentral